RNAcentral lists this ribosomal RNA (430 nucleotides) under Iurus dufoureius dufoureius. RNAcentral's name for it is "partial 16S ribosomal RNA". It matches the Rfam family "Bacterial large subunit ribosomal RNA", at positions 1947 to 2613 of the family's 2925-position model. The record is from RNAcentral. Lineage: Eukaryota; Metazoa; Arthropoda; Arachnida; Scorpiones; Iuridae.
UGUGCAAAGGUAGCAUAAUCAUUAGUCUUAUAAUUCAAGACUGGAAUGAAUGGUUUAACCAAAGUAAACUUGUCUUUUAAUGAUAUUUUGAAUUUUAUAUUUUAGUAAUAAAGCUAAAAUUAAUAUGAGGGACGAGAAGACCCUAUCAAGUUUUACAAAUUUAUAUUAUUUAUAUUUUAAUAAAUUAUUUGUUUAGCUGGGGCAGCUUAUAGAAUAAAUUCUAUUUUUUUAUUGUAAUUUUAAAUUUUGUUUUACCCUGAAUUUUAGAAUUAAAAAUAAAUUACUGUAGGGAUAACAGCAUAAUUUCUUUAUAGAGUUCUUAUCACAAAAGAAGUUUGUGACCUCGAUGUUGGAUUAAGAGACCCGUUUAACGCAAAAGUUAAAUUAGGAAGUCUGUUCGACUUUUAAAUUCUUCCAUGAUCUGAGUUCA